This 76-nucleotide transfer RNA is filed under the name Acidimicrobiia bacterium. RNAcentral describes it as "tRNA-Gln". It matches the Rfam family "tRNA". From Rfam's summary of the family: Transfer RNA (tRNA) molecules are approximately 80 nucleotides in length. Their secondary structure includes four short double-helical elements and three loops (D, anti-codon, and T loops). The record is from RNAcentral. Lineage: Bacteria; Bacillati; Actinomycetota; Acidimicrobiia.
UGGCGAGUGGCCAAACGGUAAGGCACCUGACUCUGGAUCAGGGGAUUCGAGGUUCCAGAUCCCGGCUCGCCAGCCA